GACGAACGCUGGCGGCGUGCUUAACACAUGCAAGUCGAACGGAAAGGCCCUGCUUUUGUGGGGUGCUCGAGUGGCGAACGGGUGAGUAACACGUGAGUAACCUGCCCUUGACUUUGGGAUAACUUCAGGAAACUGGGGCUAAUACCGGAUAGGAGCUCCUGCUGCAUGGUGGGGGUUGGAAAGUUUCGGCGGUUGGGGAUGGACUCGCGGCUUAUCAGCUUGUUGGUGGGGUAGUGGCUUACCAAGGCUUUGACGGGUAGCCGGCCUGAGAGGGUGACCGGCCACAUUGGGACUGAGAUACGGCCCAGACUCCUACGGGAGGCAGCAGUGGGGAAUAUUGCGCAAUGGGCGGAAGCCUGACGCAGCGACGCCGCGUGGGGGAUGACGGCCUUCGGGUUGUAAACCUCUUUCGACCCCGACGAAUUUGGACGGUAGGGGUAGAAGAAGCACCGGCCAACUACGUG
This 464-nucleotide ribosomal RNA is filed under the name uncultured bacterium. RNAcentral's name for it is "partial 16S ribosomal RNA". It matches the Rfam family "Bacterial small subunit ribosomal RNA", at positions 28 to 507 of the family's 1533-position model. The record is from RNAcentral.